This 274-nucleotide ribosomal RNA is filed under the name uncultured bacterium. RNAcentral's name for it is "partial 16S ribosomal RNA". It matches the Rfam family "Bacterial small subunit ribosomal RNA", at positions 523 to 796 of the family's 1533-position model. The record is from RNAcentral.
AUACGGAGGGUGCAAGCGUUGUUCGGAAUCACUGGGCGUAAAGGGCGCGCAGGCGGUUUUACAAGUCAGAUGUGAAAGCCCACGGCUCAACCGUGGAAGUGCAUUUGAAACUGUAAGACUUGAGUAUCAGAGGGGAAGGUGGAAUUCCCGGUGUAGAGGUGAAAUUCGUAAAUAUCGGGAGGAAUACCGGUGGCGAAGGCGACUUUCUGGCUGAAUACUGACGCUGAGGCGCGAAAGCGUGGGGAGCAAACAGGAUUAGAUACCCCAGUAGUCC